GUACUGCGCUUUGUCCGGUUGGGCGAUCAUACAGUCUACAACGAGCAGCGACAAGGGCAUAAACUUUUGUCUUUAAAUCAUUGUAGGAACUCCGUUACGAAAACAUUGCUGGUUAGUGGAACAGCCCCUGCAAACGAAUCAGCAUCCCCAUCGAAAAGUCAAGCUAGUGUGCUGCCUGCCCUGUCGCUGUGACAUAAAUAACCAGUGAUACGCCAAGCCUACAUAGCUCGAGCAAUCUGCCUGCUGGUUGCCUUAGUCUGUCCAGAUGGGUCAGGAACUGUCGUCUUUGUUUAUCACAUUGAGUCAUCUCACUUACUCUUCUGUGACCCAGUGUGAUUACGAGGUCUAUUCCAACGAACCACAAAAGUGCAGUAGACAAAUGGUUAGGACAGGCUUCCUACUGUUGCUGGUUUCCCAAGCUUCAAGUGCUCUGUAUUCAUACUUUCCGGCAGGGAAUGAGUACUCUGAAGAGGCCAGUCUCUCGCAGCACUCGACUUAAUGAAGCUUACGGAUGACAGCAGCGCAUAUCCCGGGCAGCGGCAGAAAUAUGAGGUCACGAACGUGUUCAGCUGUCAGUGCAGUGUUCAUUGUUGAGAAAAUGGCGACUCCGCAAGAAAGAGCGCCAAUAGUUGUGUGGUUUUGUGAAAUGAAAUCGGUGACACAAACGCAGAGGAACUUCAGAACACAUCACCAGAAAGAUCCUCCUUCUAGAAACAGUAUCAUAGACUGCAAAAAGAAAUUUUUGGAAACAGGAAGUGUUGUCAGUAAGAAAAGUUCCGGACUUCCCAGCACAAGCAAUGAUGACGUUGAGCGUGUCCGAGAAGCAUUUGCACCAGUCACAGGAAAUCUUUGAGAACAGAGGCAAGAGAAUUGAAUAUGCCAGUUUCAACAGUACACAAGGUUCUACGGAAGAAAUUACGGCUGUAUGCUUAUAAGAUGCAACUUGUGCAAGCUAUUGAACCACAUGAUAAGCCUAAGAGAACGGAAUAAGUGAAAAGACGAAUGUGAUUGCGUGUAAUUAUACAGCUGUGUUCGUAUACCUGAGGAUGACCUCUUGAGGUCGAAACAUGUAGUGUAAUAAUAAUAAAAAUAUGUUGUGUGUCGGUAAAAUUGACUCUAAGAGAACGGUUUUUGCAACAGAUAUGUUACGAAGAACAGAGGAUGAUGAAAGAUUUCUUACAAACGUAUUGUUCUCUGAUGAAGCUUGUUUCCACAUUUCUGGAAGAGUCAAUCGCCAUAACGUACCCAUUUGGGGAUCAGAGAACCCUCUUGAAUACCGUGAAAUGGCAAGAAACUCCCCAAAAGUGAAUGUGUGGUGUGUACUUAUGCAUGAUCGAGUCAUUGGGCCUUUCUUUUUCGCGGAAAAUGCAGUCACGUGAGUCAUUUAUCUAGAUAUGUUGCAGAAUUUCGUAUUCCCGCAAAUUGAAGCGCUUCAGUCCGAAAUCAUUUUCCAACAAGACGGUGCAACACCUCAUUGGAGCACCAUAGCUCGUGAUGCUUUGGACAAACAUUUUCCAGAAAAAUGGAUUGAAUGAGGUGGUCCAAUUUCUUGGCCCCCAAGAUCACCUGACAUAACCCAACUGGACGUUUUCCUCUGGGGAUAUGUCAAAGACAUUGCUUAUAAGACGCAGGUGAGAGACAUCUAUCAAUUAAAAACCAGAGUAAGAGACGCACUAACCACUGUGGAUGUCGGUAUGCUUGCCCGAACCUGGCAAGAAAUCGAAUAUCGUCUUGAUAUUUUACGUGCAACAAAUGGAACACAUGUACAACUUUAUUAACAAUAGACACAAAAUUUUUAAUUUCUCGAUCCAACAAUGUA
RNA transcript from Cryptotermes secundus, 1819 nucleotides. RefSeq lists it as uncharacterized. The record is from RefSeq and is a predicted model, not a curated record. The transcript has 5 exons. NCBI's taxonomy places the organism in Eukaryota, Metazoa, Arthropoda, Insecta, Blattodea, Kalotermitidae.